GAGUUUGAUCCUGGCUCAGGAUGAACGCUAGCGGCAGGCUUAACACAUGCAAGUCGAGGGGUAAAUAUAGCAAUAUAUGAGACCGGCAAACGGGUGCGGAACACGUACUGAACCUACCUUGAUCUGGGGCAUAGCCCGGAGAAAUCCGGAUUAACUCCCCAUAGUAUGGAAUGGUGGCAUCACCUAACCAUUAAAAAUUUAUUGGAUCAAGAUGGCAGUGCGUCCCAUUAGCUAGUUGGUAGGGUAACGGCCUACCAAGGCGACGAUGGGUAGCUGGUGUGAGAGCACGACCAGCCACACGGGCACUGAGACACGGGCCCGACUCCUACGGGAGGCAGCAGUGAGGAAUAUUGGUCAAUGGACGCAAGUCUGAACCAGCCAUGCCGCGUGAAGGAUGAAGGCCUUCUGGGUUGUAAACUUCUUUUAUGUGGGAAGAAACCUCUGAUUUCUAUUAGAGUUGACGGUACCAUAGGAAUAAGCACCGGCUAACUCCGUGCCAGCCGCCGCAGUAAU
Molecule: ribosomal RNA, 513 nt
Filed under: uncultured Sphingobacterium sp.
Lineage: Bacteria; Pseudomonadati; Bacteroidota; Sphingobacteriia; Sphingobacteriales; Sphingobacteriaceae
Description: bacterial SSU rRNA
Rfam family: Bacterial small subunit ribosomal RNA
Source: RNAcentral